GGGGCUGUGGCUCAGUGGCAGAGCGCUUGCCUUGCACGCAUGAGGCAAUGGCUCGAUCCUUAGCACCA
Molecule: transfer RNA, 68 nt
Filed under: Marmota marmota marmota (Alpine marmot)
Lineage: Eukaryota; Metazoa; Chordata; Mammalia; Rodentia; Sciuridae
Also listed under: 1 other name
Rfam family: tRNA
About the family: Transfer RNA (tRNA) molecules are approximately 80 nucleotides in length. Their secondary structure includes four short double-helical elements and three loops (D, anti-codon, and T loops).
Source: Rfam by way of RNAcentral